UACAGAGGUGGCGUGGGAUGUUCGGAAUUACUGGGCGUAAAGGGCGCGUAGGCGGCCUCUUAAGUCAGACGUGAAAUCCCCCGGCUCAACCGGGGAACUGCGUCUGAGACUGGGAGGCUCGAAUCCGGGAGAGGGAUGUGGAAUUCCAGGUGUAGCGGUGAAAUGCGUAGAUAUCUGGAGGAACACCGGUGGCGAAGGCGGCAUCCUGGACCGGCAUUGACGCUGAGGCGCGAAAGCCAGGGGAGCAAACGGG
RNAcentral lists this ribosomal RNA (253 nucleotides) under uncultured bacterium. RNAcentral's name for it is "partial 16S ribosomal RNA". It matches the Rfam family "Bacterial small subunit ribosomal RNA", at positions 524 to 776 of the family's 1533-position model. The record is from RNAcentral.